RNAcentral lists this ribosomal RNA (412 nucleotides) under uncultured bacterium. Its description in RNAcentral is "bacterial SSU rRNA". It matches the Rfam family "Bacterial small subunit ribosomal RNA", at positions 8 to 422 of the family's 1533-position model. The record is from RNAcentral.
AGAGUUUGAUCCUGGCUCAGAUUGAACGCUGGCGGAAUGCUUUACACAUGCAAGUCGAGCGGCAGCGCGGGGGCAACCCUGGCGGCGAGCGGCGAACGGGUGAGUAAUGUAUCGGAACGUACCCAGUCGUGGGGGAUAACUAUCCGAAAGGAUAGCUAAUACCGCAUACGUCCUGAGGGAGAAAGCGGGGGACCGAAAGGCCUCGCGCGAUUGGAGCGGCCGAUAUCGGGUUAGCUAGUUGGUGAGGUAAAGGCUCACCAAGGCGACGAUCCGUAGCUGGUCUGAGAGGACGACCAGCCACACUGGAACUGAGACACGGUCCAGACUCCUACGGGAGGCAGCAGUGGGGAAUUUUGGACAAUGGGGGCAACCCUGAUCCAGCCAUUCCGCGUGAGUGAAGAAGGCCUUCGGG